Molecule: ribosomal RNA, 254 nt
Filed under: uncultured bacterium
Lineage: Bacteria
Description: partial 16S ribosomal RNA
Rfam family: Bacterial small subunit ribosomal RNA
Source: RNAcentral
CGUAGGCAGCAAGCGUUGUUCGGAAUUACUGGGCGUAAGAGUGUGUAGGUGGUGUCGUAAGUUUGGUGUGAAAUCUCCCGGCUUAACUGGGAGGGUGCGCCGAAGACUGCGAUGCUGGAGUAUGGGAGAGGAAAGCGGAAUUCCUGGUGUAGCGGUGAAAUGCGUAGAUAUCAGGAGGAACAACCUGCGGUGUAGACGGCUUUCUGGACCAUUACUGACACUGAGACACGAAAGCGUGGGUAGCAAACAGGAUU